RNAcentral lists this ribosomal RNA (492 nucleotides) under uncultured bacterium. Its description in RNAcentral is "partial 16S ribosomal RNA". It matches the Rfam family "Bacterial small subunit ribosomal RNA", at positions 29 to 507 of the family's 1533-position model. The record is from RNAcentral.
AGUGAACGCUGGCGGUAGGCCUAACACAUGCAAGUCGAACGGCAGCACAGUAAGAGCUUGCUCUUACGGGUGGCGACUGGCGGACGGGUGAGGAAUACAUCGGCAUCUACUUUUUCGGGGGGGAUAACGUAGGAACACUUACGCUACUACCGCAUACGACCUACGGGUGAAAUCAGUAGAUCUUCGCACCUUGCGCGACUGAAUGAGACGAUGUCGGAUUAGCUAGUUGGCGGGGUAAAGGCACACCAAGGCAACGAUCCGUAGCUGGUCUGAGAGGAUGAUCAGCCACACUGGAACUGAGACACGGUCCAGACUCCUACGGGAGGCAGCAGUGGGGAAUAUUGGACAAUGGGCGCAAGCCUGAUCCAGCCAUACCGCGUGAGUGAAGAAGGCCUUCGGGUUGUAAAGCUCUUUUGUUGGGAAAGAAAAGCAGCGGGUUAAUCCCCCGCUGUUCUGACGGUACCCAAAGAGUAAGCACCGGCUAACUUCGUG